UACGUAGGUGGCGAGCGUUGUCCGGAUAUACUGGGCGUAAAGGGAGCGUAGGCGGACUUUUAAGUGAGAUGUGAAAUACUCGGGCUCAACUUGAGUGCUGCAUUUCAAACUGGAAGUCUAGAGUGCAGGAGAGGAGAAUGGAAUUCCUAGUGUAGCGGUGAAAUGCGUAGAGAUUAGGAAGAACACCAGUGGCGAAGGCGAUUCUCUGGACUGUAACUGACGCUGAGGCUCGAAAGCGUGGGGAGCAAACAGG
RNAcentral lists this ribosomal RNA (253 nucleotides) under uncultured bacterium. RNAcentral's name for it is "partial 16S ribosomal RNA". It matches the Rfam family "Bacterial small subunit ribosomal RNA", at positions 524 to 776 of the family's 1533-position model. The record is from RNAcentral.